CCAAAGUUCUAGAGUCUGGACGUCUGAGAUCAGGGUGCCAGCACUGUCGAGGUCACAGACUGCAGACCUCCUUGUAUCUUCAAAUGGAGGAAAGAGGACAAGAGAGCUCCUGUGGUCCCUUUUAUCAAGAUGAAUGCACAAGGAAAAUGUUGUACAUUUGCACAUUGGAGUACACUUCAGCCAUAAAAAGAAUGAGAUGCUGUCAUUUGCAACAACAGGUCAACAGCAAUCUGAGACACACUCUUCUCAUGGCAGAUUAUGGGACCAUAAAGCAGAAAAACAAGGAUAUCUUCAACAGAUGCAACUAUCACCAGUUAAAUAUGACGUUGGAGGACUGUUGGAAACAGAACUUCAUGAUUAAUUUGACAUGAUUUUGUGUAAUUUAGGUUUCAUGCUUUUUAUUUCAAGAUUAUACAUUUGAAUCAAUUUUGCUUGACUAUAUUGUCCAGUAGCUAACUACUCAAAUGGGAAUGCUUGUGUACUUUUAAAUUAAGAGUGUUUAGUGAGAGCAAUUUUGAAGACAAAGGUAAACAAAAUAGAGUAUUAGCUUAUCUCUACAGUUCAGUGGUACAAGUAUAAAGAUUUUUUUGCAAUGUAAUUUCUAUCAAAGCUUAUGUCUUAUUAAAUUGCUG
This 632-nucleotide long non-coding RNA is filed under the name Homo sapiens (human). RNAcentral describes it as "HSALNT0349160". The record is from RNAcentral. Lineage: Eukaryota; Metazoa; Chordata; Mammalia; Primates; Hominidae.